UACGGGGGGAGCAAGCGUUGUUCGGAUUUACUGGGCGUAAAGGGCGCGUAGGCGGCGUAACAAGUCACUUGUGAAAUCUCCGGGCUUAACCCGGAGCGGCCAAGUGAUACUGUUGUGCUAGAGUGCGGUAGGGGAGAUUGGAAUUCCUGGUGUAGCGGUGGAAUGCGCAGAUAUCAGGAGGAACACCGAUGGCGAAGGCAGAUCUCUGGGCCGUAACUGACGCUGAGGAGCGAAAGCGUGGGGAGCGAACAGG
RNAcentral lists this ribosomal RNA (253 nucleotides) under uncultured bacterium. Its description in RNAcentral is "partial 16S ribosomal RNA". It matches the Rfam family "Bacterial small subunit ribosomal RNA", at positions 524 to 776 of the family's 1533-position model. The record is from RNAcentral.